This 253-nucleotide ribosomal RNA is filed under the name uncultured bacterium. RNAcentral describes it as "partial 16S ribosomal RNA". It matches the Rfam family "Bacterial small subunit ribosomal RNA", at positions 524 to 776 of the family's 1533-position model. The record is from RNAcentral.
UACGAAGGGGGCGAGCGUUGUUCGGAAUUACUGGGCGUAAAGCGCACGUAGGCGGAUCGUUAAGUCGGGGGUGAAAUCCUGGAGCUCAACUCCAGAACUGCCUUCGAUACUGGCGAUCUUGAGUCCGGAAGAGGUGAGUGGAACUCCUAGUGUAGAGGUGGAAUUCGUAGAUAUUCGGAAGAACACCAGUGGCGAAGGCGACACACUGGCCCGUUACUGACGCUGAGGCGCGAAAGCGUGGGGAGCAAACAGG